CAGUGCCGCGGGAAUACGGAGGAUCCAAGCGUUAUCCGGAAUCAUUGGGUUUAAAGGGUCCGUAGGCGGUCUUGUAAGUCAGUGGUGAAAGCCCAUCGCUCAACGGUGGAACGGCCAUUGAUACUGCAGGACUUGAAUUAUUGGGAAGUAACUAGAAUAUGUAGUGUAGCGGUGAAAUGCUUAGAGAUUACAUGGAAUACCAAUUGCGAAGGCAGGUUACUACCAAUUGAUUGACGCUGAUGGACGAAAGCGUGGGUAGCGAACAGGAUUAGAUACCCGCGUAGUCCCUGUCUCUUAUACA
RNAcentral lists this ribosomal RNA (301 nucleotides) under uncultured bacterium. Its description in RNAcentral is "partial 16S ribosomal RNA". It matches the Rfam family "Bacterial small subunit ribosomal RNA", at positions 509 to 808 of the family's 1533-position model. The record is from RNAcentral.